Molecule: ribosomal RNA, 205 nt
Filed under: uncultured bacterium
Lineage: Bacteria
Description: partial 16S ribosomal RNA
Rfam family: Bacterial small subunit ribosomal RNA
Source: RNAcentral
NNNNNACGGGUAGCCGGCCUGAUGAGGGUGACCGGCCACACUGGGACUGAACACGGCCCAGACUCCUACGGGAGGCAGCAGUGGGGAAUAUUGCACAAUGGGCGNAAGCCUGAUGCAGCAACGCCGNGUGGGGGACGAAGGCCUUCGGGUUGUAAACCUCUUUUGGCAGGGAAGAAGNGAAAGUGACGGUACCUGCAGAAAAAGC